CGGCGCUGAUGAUGAUAGGGGGGAGGAUGUUUGCCAUGGCGGUACAAUCUGUUGGCGAGGUUUACUUUAUGGUGGCUUGGUUGGUGUUCUACUUCGCGGCGAGGAGUAAGGACGGGGAAUUGGAAGGUCGGAGAUUUGGGCGCCGUGAUCUGGAGGAUUGUAUCAAUGGACUCAGAUGACGGAGGCAGCAUAUUGAUUCAGGGUACCUAGUAAUUGCAACUGGGCGGCAUCAGAGCGAUGAAGAUCUUUUAUGUGGCAUAGACCCAAGAGAAACUUCAGCGUGUUAAGAGUUUUGAAGCGCUUGGUUGCCCUAUUG
This 316-nucleotide unclassified non-coding RNA is filed under the name Hevea brasiliensis (rubber tree). The record is from RNAcentral. Lineage: Eukaryota; Viridiplantae; Streptophyta; Magnoliopsida; Malpighiales; Euphorbiaceae.